Long non-coding RNA from Pelmatolapia mariae (spotted tilapia), 481 nucleotides. RefSeq lists it as uncharacterized. Lineage: Eukaryota; Metazoa; Chordata; Actinopteri; Cichliformes; Cichlidae. The record is from RefSeq and is a predicted model, not a curated record. The transcript is spliced from 5 exons.
CACUCUUUCUCCCCGAUUCUAUCACAGAGGCAUCGCUGUCAGCAGAUGUCGUGUGUGGAUGUUUAGACGUUGUUGCAUCUGAACAUGUGUUCGAGUCUCUCCACCAGCCACCUGAUUCUUCUGAUCUCCCUGAGUGUGAUGAUGCUCAUCUCUGUAUCAGGGGCUGACCAUGUGGGGAUACCCUGCUAUAAAAGAUAUAAUAACAAUGGUGUAGUAAACACGUCUACACCUAAAUGGGCCAAGAACAUCAUCAGCUGCUUUGAAGACGACAGACAUGACUGCCUGCCUGGCUAUAAGGUGCAAACAAGCAGAAAAUAAAUGAGGGAACUCUGCUGUGUCCUCCACUGAUUUCUAAAUGAAGAUAAUGGAAACGAUGAAACAAAGUUGAAGUAAAGCAGCAACUGGAACCAUUUCUGCUGAUUUAUUAGUUCAAACUUUUACAGAAAUAUUUGUUAAGAAAUUUUGAUUAUUUUUCGUUAAU